RNAcentral lists this ribosomal RNA (497 nucleotides) under uncultured bacterium. RNAcentral's name for it is "partial 16S ribosomal RNA". It matches the Rfam family "Bacterial small subunit ribosomal RNA", at positions 28 to 507 of the family's 1533-position model. The record is from RNAcentral.
GAUGAACGCUGGCGGCGUGCCUAAUACAUGCAAGUCGAGCGAACGGACGAGAAGCUUGCUUCUCUGAUGUUAGCGGCGGACGGGUGAGUAACACGUGGAUAACCUACCUAUAAGACUGGGAUCACUUCGGGAAACCGGAGCUAAUACCGGAUAAUAUUUUGAACCGCAUGGUUCAAAAGUGAAAGACGGUCUUGCUGUCACUUAUAGAUGGAUCCGCGCUGCAUUAGCUAGUUGGUAAGGUAACGGCUUACCAAGGCAACGAUGCAUAGCCGACCUGAGAGGGUGAUCGGCCACACGGGAACUGAGACACGGUCCAGACUCCUACGGGAGGCAGCAGUAGGGAAUCGUCCGCAAUGGGCGAAAGCCUGACGGAGCAACGCCGCGUGAGUGAUGAAGGUCUUCGGAUCGUAAAACUCUGUUAUUAGGGAAGAACAUAUGUGUAAGUAACUGUGCACAUCUUGACGGUACCUAAUCAGAAAGCCACGGCUAACUACGUG